Molecule: long non-coding RNA, 508 nt
Organism: Oncorhynchus tshawytscha (Chinook salmon)
Lineage: Eukaryota; Metazoa; Chordata; Actinopteri; Salmoniformes; Salmonidae
Source: Ensembl
CUCCGAUUUGACACACUGAACUCUGUCUGAGAAGUAGUUGGUGAACCAGGUGAGGCAGUCAUUUGAGAAACCAAGGCUGUUGAGUCUGCUGAUAAGAAUACGGUGAUUGACAGAGUCGAAAGCCUUGGCCAGGUCAAUGAAGAUGUGGUGAUUGACAGAGUCAAAAGCCUUGGCCAGGUCGAUGAGGAUGUGGUGAUUGACAGAGUCAAAAGCCUUGGCCAGGUCGAUGAGGAUGUGGUGAUUGACAGAGUUGAAAGCCUUGGCCAGGUCGAUGAGGAUGUGGUGAUUGACAGAGUUGAAAGCCUUGGCCAGGUCGAUGAGGAUGUGGUGAUUGACAGAGUUGAAAGCCUUGGCCAGGUCGAUGAGGAUGUGGUGAUUGACAGAGUUGAAAGCCUUGGCCAGGUCGAUGAGGAUGUGGUGAUUGACAGAGUUGAAAGCCUUGGCCAGGUCGAUGAGGAUGUGGUGAUUGACAGAGUCGAAAGCCUUGGCCAGGUCGAUGAAGAUUGCU